CCUACGGGAGGCAGCAGUGGGGAAUAUUGCACAAUGGGGGCAACCCUGAUGCAGCGACGCCGCGUGUGUGAAGAAGUACUUCGGUAUGUAAAGUUCUAUCAGCAGGGAAGAAGAUGACGGUACCUGACUCAUCACCCCCGGCGAACUACGUCACAGCAGCCGCGGUCAUACGUAGGGGGCAAGCGUUAUCCGGAUGUACUGGGUGAAGAGUGAGCGUAGACGGCGAUGCAUGCCAGAUGUGAAGGCCCGGGGCUCAACCCCGGGACUGCAUGUGGAACUGGGAGGCUGGAGUGUCGGAGAGGCAGGUGGAAUUCCUGGUGUAGCGGUGAAAUGCGUAGAGAUUAGGAGGAACACCAGUGGCGAAGGCGGCCUGCUGGACGAUGACUGACGUUGAGGCGCGAAAGCGUGGGGAGCAAACAGGAUUAGAUACCCGUGUAGUC
Molecule: ribosomal RNA, 440 nt
Filed under: uncultured bacterium
Lineage: Bacteria
Description: partial 16S ribosomal RNA
Rfam family: Bacterial small subunit ribosomal RNA
Source: RNAcentral